CCUACGGGCGGCAGCAGUGGGGAAUAUUGGACAAUGGGGGCAACCCUGAUCCAGCCAUGCCGCGUGUGUGAAGAAGGCCCUCGGGUUGUAAAGCACUUUCAGUGAGGAAGAACGCCUGGUGGUUAAUACCCAUCAGGAAAGACAUCACUCACAGAAGAAGCACCGGCUAACUCCGUGCCAGCAGCCGCGGUAAUACGGAGGGUGCGAGCGUUAAUCGGAAUUACUGGGCGUAAAGCGCGCGUAGGUGGCUUGAUAAGCCGGUUGUGAAAGCCCCGGGCUCAACCUGGGAACGGCAUCCGGAACUGUCAAGCUAGAGUGCAGGAGAGGAAGGUAGAAAUCCCGGUGUAGCGGUGAAAUGCGUAGAGAUCGGGAGGAAUACCAGUGGCGAAGGCGGCCUUCUGGACUGACACUGACACUGAGGUGCGAAAGCGUGGGUAGCAAACAGGAUUAGAUACCCUAGUAGUC
RNAcentral lists this ribosomal RNA (465 nucleotides) under Vreelandella stevensii. Its description in RNAcentral is "partial 16S ribosomal RNA". It matches the Rfam family "Bacterial small subunit ribosomal RNA", at positions 338 to 795 of the family's 1533-position model. The record is from RNAcentral. Lineage: Bacteria; Pseudomonadati; Pseudomonadota; Gammaproteobacteria; Oceanospirillales; Halomonadaceae.